GGGCCCGCACAAGCAGUGGAUUAUGUGGUUUAAUUCGAAGCAACGCGAAGAACCUUACCAGGUCUUGACAUCCCUUGCAUAGCCUAGAGAUAGGUGAAGUCUUUCGGGACAAGGAGACAGGUGGUGCAUGGUUGUCGUCAGCUCGUGUCGUGAGAUGUUGGGUUAAGUCCCGCAACGAGCGCAACCCUUACUAUUAGUUGCUACGUAAAGAGCACUCUAAUGGGACUGCCGUUGACAAAACGGAGGAAGGUGGGGACGACGUCAAAUCAUCAUGCCCCUUAUGACCUGGGCUACACACGUAAUACAAUGGCGGUAAACAGAGGGAAGCAACCCCGCGAGGGAGAGCAAACCCCUAAAAUCGUCUCAGUUCGGAUUGCAGGCUGCAACUCGCCUGCAUGAAGUCGGAAUUGCUAGUAAUCGCAGGUCAGCAUACUG
This 435-nucleotide ribosomal RNA is filed under the name uncultured Bacillota bacterium. RNAcentral describes it as "bacterial SSU rRNA". It matches the Rfam family "Bacterial small subunit ribosomal RNA", at positions 917 to 1359 of the family's 1533-position model. The record is from RNAcentral. Lineage: Bacteria; Bacillati; Bacillota.